UUAAUUGAAGAGUUUGAUCAUGGCUCAGAUUGAACGCUGGCGGCAGGCCUAACACAUGCAAGUCGAGCGGCAGCACAAGGGAGUUUACUCCUGAGGUGGCGAGCGGCGGACGGGUGAGUAAUGCCUAGGGAUCUGCCCAGUCGAGGGGGAUAACAGUUGGAAACGACUGCUAAUACCGCAUACGCCCUACGGGGGAAAGAGGGGGACCUUCGGGCCUCUCGCGAUUGGAUGAACCUAGGUGGGAUUAGCUAGUUGGUGAGGUAAUGGCUCACCAAGGCGACGAUCCCUAGCUGUUCUGAGAGGAUGAUCAGCCACACUGGGACUGAGACACGGCCCAGACUCCUACGGGAGGCAGCAGUGGGGAAUAUUGCACAAUGGGGGAAACCCUGAUGCAGCCAUGCCGCGUGUGUGAAGAAGGCCUUCGGGUUGUAAAGCACUUUCAGUAGGGAGGAAAGGGUGAGU
This 462-nucleotide ribosomal RNA is filed under the name Shewanella sp. LC2. RNAcentral's name for it is "bacterial SSU rRNA". It matches the Rfam family "Bacterial small subunit ribosomal RNA", at positions 1 to 458 of the family's 1533-position model. The record is from RNAcentral. Lineage: Bacteria; Pseudomonadati; Pseudomonadota; Gammaproteobacteria; Alteromonadales; Shewanellaceae.